UACGUAGGGUGCAAGCGUUGUCCGGAAUUAUUGGGCGUAAAGAGCUCGUAGGCGGUCUGUCGCGUCGGCUGUGAAAACUCGGGGCUCAACUCCGAGCUUGCAGUCGAUACGGGCAGGCUAGAGUUCGGCAGGGGAGACUGGAAUUCCGUGGUGUAGCGGUGAAAUGCGCAGAUAUCAGGAGGAACACCGGUGGCGAAGGCGGGUCUCUGG
This 210-nucleotide ribosomal RNA is filed under the name uncultured bacterium. RNAcentral describes it as "partial 16S ribosomal RNA". It matches the Rfam family "Bacterial small subunit ribosomal RNA", at positions 524 to 732 of the family's 1533-position model. The record is from RNAcentral.